This 253-nucleotide ribosomal RNA is filed under the name uncultured bacterium. Its description in RNAcentral is "partial 16S ribosomal RNA". It matches the Rfam family "Bacterial small subunit ribosomal RNA", at positions 524 to 776 of the family's 1533-position model. The record is from RNAcentral.
UACGAAGGGGGCUAGCGUUGCUCGGAAUUACUGGGCGUAAAGGGCGCGUAGGCGGCACUGUUAGUCAGGCGUGAAAGUCCUGGGCUCAACCUGGGAACUGCGCUUGAUACGGCAGAGCUAGAGGAUGGAAGAGGCUCGCGGAAUUCCCAGUGUAGAGGUGAAAUUCGUAGAUAUUGGGAAGAACACCGGUGGCGAAGGCGGCGAGCUGGUCCAUUACUGACGCUGAGGCGCGAAAGCCAGGGGAGCAAACGGG